RNAcentral lists this ribosomal RNA (801 nucleotides) under uncultured Glomus. RNAcentral describes it as "SSU rRNA". It matches the Rfam family "Eukaryotic small subunit ribosomal RNA", at positions 314 to 1114 of the family's 1831-position model. The record is from RNAcentral. Lineage: Eukaryota; Fungi; Glomeromycota; Glomeromycetes; Glomerales; Glomeraceae.
AUCAACUUUCGAUGGUAGGAUAGAGGCCUACCAUGGUGGUAACGGGUGACGGGGUGUUAGGGCACGACACCGGAAAGGGAGCCUGAGAAACGGCUACCACAUCCAAGGAUGGCAGCAGGCGCGCAAAUUACCCAAUCCCGACACGGGGAGGUAGUGACAAUAAAUAACAAUACGGGGUUCUUUCGGAUUUCGUAAUUGGAAUGAGUACAAUUUAAAUCUCUUAACGAGGAACAAUUGGAGGGCAAGUCUGGUGCCAGCAGCCGCGGUAAUUCCAGCUCCAAUAGCGUAUAUUAAAGUUGCUGCAGUUAAAAAGCUCGUAGUUGAAUUUCGGGACCAUCAUGUCGGUCGUGCCUCGGUACGUACUGGUAUUGUUGGUUUCUCCCUUCUGACGAACCAUGAUGUCAUUUAUUUGGUGUUGUGGGGAAUCAGGACUGUUACUUUGAAAAAAUUAGAGUGUUUAAAGCAGGCAUUUUUGCUUGAAUACAUUAGCAUGGAAUAAUAAAAUAGGACGGCAUGGUUCUAUUUUGUUGGUUUCUAGGACCACCGUAAUGAUUAAUAGGGAUAGUUGGGGGCAUUAGUAUUCAAUUGUCAGAGGUGAAAUUCUUGGAUUUAUUGAAGACUAACUACUGCGAAAGCAUUUGCCAAGGAUGUUUUCAUUAAUCAAGAACGAAAGUUAGGGGAUCGAAGACGAUCAGAUACCGUCGUAGUCUUAACCAUAAACUAUGCCGACUAGGAAUCAGACGAUGUUAAUUUUUUAAUGACUCGUUUGGCACCUUACGGGAAACCAAAGUGUUUGGGUUC